UCUUUGUACAGCGCCUCGUGAAUGUGUUAACAUUUAGCCUAGUCCCAUUCAUUCCUAUGGCUCCAAACAGGGAUGAAUUUAGAAGCCACCAAACACUUGCAUGUUUUCCCUAUUUAAAGACUGUUACAUGAGUAGUUACACAAGUAAGUUUGGCACAAAAUAAAACUUUUGUUUGGAGCCAUUGGAAUGAUUGGGGCUAGGCUAAACGCUACAUUCACGAGGCACUGUAAAAGAUGAAGUGCACGCAUUGAAAAAAGAUAGGGCUGUAUUAAUUCGUCUAAGUUGAGGUAAGAACAUAGUAAAAUAUUGAAAACGGCUAGUCCAAGGCUGAUACUGCUGGUUGCUGGUGAUGAAGUCACAUUUGGAGGUUGGAUGAUCAGCAGUGAAAACAACAUCAUCUGUGAAGGAAAGAUGAAGCUGCGAGGACACUGGAGUUUGUUCAAAGAUGCUUAAUUGGUGUGAACCCUAAGAGGUGAACAAAAGCCAGGCAGGUGAAGGUGUCCGAGAAGACAGGAAAGCUUGUCCAGAAAAACGCAGCAACUGUUAAUCCCCAUGUGACCACCCUCAUCAAAAACUUCAUGGACUUUGAGUGGGGCUUUCACAUUGUAUUCUGCAGUGUUGUGAUAUUUAUGUGACAUCACAGCAUUAUGUUUUAUUCAGCCCAGUCUCAUUAGUGAGGCAGAAACUGACAUUUAAGAAUGCACUGAAUUUUGUUAUAUUUAAUAAAAACAGUGUUUUAUCAUCAUCCUUUGUUUGAGAAUUUUUUUGCAAGCAAUUUUAAGUGUUUAUUUUAAAAUUACAUUUUAACAAUGCUAGAAAAAUCACAUUCUACAGUAUAAAUAACAGCAGGAACCCUAAAAUAACAGUAUAAUGCAUCCAA
Non-coding RNA from Paramisgurnus dabryanus, 880 nucleotides. NCBI's taxonomy places the organism in Eukaryota, Metazoa, Chordata, Actinopteri, Cypriniformes, Cobitidae. The record is from RefSeq and is a predicted model, not a curated record.